AUUAACUCAACUGGUAGAGUAUUUCUCUUACAAAGAAAAGGUUAGCGGUUCAAAUCCGUUAUC
RNAcentral lists this transfer RNA (63 nucleotides) under Hemiselmis tepida. It matches the Rfam family "tRNA", at positions 6 to 65 of the family's 71-position model. From Rfam's summary of the family: Transfer RNA (tRNA) molecules are approximately 80 nucleotides in length. Their secondary structure includes four short double-helical elements and three loops (D, anti-codon, and T loops). The record is from RNAcentral. Lineage: Eukaryota; Cryptophyceae; Cryptomonadales; Hemiselmidaceae.